Cervus hanglu yarkandensis (Yarkand deer) is the source of this 4008-nucleotide long non-coding RNA. The record is from Ensembl. NCBI's taxonomy places the organism in Eukaryota, Metazoa, Chordata, Mammalia, Artiodactyla, Cervidae.
CACCAAAUGGACCUCUUGACUUUCUGUAAAAUCCAACAUGAUGCCAUGCAUCCUGAAUGAUUUGUUCAAGAAUGAAAGUUGAUUUUGAGGAAACAGUGGCCUAAUUUGACCAUUAAGGAUGUCAGGCUGAGUCUGACUCUUAGAUGAAGUAAAGGGUGUGACUUGUUCCAUCAAAGUCAUCCCAGAAGGCUUGAUCUCCAAGUCAGACGAAAAGGUCAGUAACCUGGUGUCAACAGUUUGAGACAGCUUGGGUUAUAACUCGAAGAAAUAAUCGAAGUCAGCAAGAAAAAACAAACCCAGACCAUUCUGUUGCUUGUAAGUGAAGGAAUUCAGUUGUCUUAUGUGUUGUAACUGACACGAUUUGACAUGCUCAUUUUUUUUUUUUAAGUCUUUGGGUUUUGAAUAAUUGCUUCUUGCCGAAAGCCUAUAUUUUCUGUACUCUGUGGUUGCCAAGCUGUACUCGACUUUUAAAAGAGAGUCAAAGGAACGUAUCCUUGUGAGAAAUUGCUGCUUUGUGGAGUGCAAAUGAGAGGUUCCAUGAUCUUUGAAGCUAGGAAGGCCAAAUCUGGCUUAGAAACCCCAUUGCCAGGCUGCAUUUUAUAUUCUUCAUUGCUUUACUAAACUGAACUGUCCUUUUGUUGGAAGUGGGGGAAAGAAAGAUGUAGUGGAGAACUGGGGUUUAGAUAAGUGAUUCUUCCCAUCUGGCUCUGAAAGCAGAAAGUUCUUCUUGACCAUUCCAGUCUAGAAGUCAGAAUGUCAGAGUAUUCUCACUCUAGACCAGUGCUUCUCAACUAGGGAAGCUUGUGUCCCCAGGGGCCAGAAGGCAAAGUCUGGAGAGAUUCUUGGUUGUCAUAACUGCAGGGGAGUGUGCUUCUGACAUGUAGUGGCUAGAGACCAGUGAAAGUGAAAGUGUUAGUUGCUCAGUCAGGUCUGACUCUUUGUGACCCCAUGAACUGUAGCCCGUCACGGGAUUCUCCAUCUGUGGGAUUUUCUAGGCAAGAAUACUGGAGUGGGUUGCCGUUUCCUUCUCCAGGGGAUCUUCCCCACCCAGAGAUCAAACCCAGGUCUCCUGCAUUUCAUGUGGAUUCUUUACCGUCUGAGCCACCAGGGACACCCCGGCUCGAGACCAGAGAUGCUGUUAAACAUCCCACAUCGCACAGGACAGCCCCCGACAGCCAAAGGUAUUCAGGUUCAUUUCUCACAAACUACAAGGGAAAGAGACCAGGGCUAAAUUCAAAGACAAGAAUUCAACUCCCAAUACAACCACUGCCAGUUGUAAGAAUUUGCCUUAAUAACCUAAUCUCACUGAAACACUGAAUUUUCAUUUAUUUAAUAGUCUCUAUCACCUCUGAUGUUGCUGUUCGGUCAUUCAGUCAUGUCUGACUCUUUGCAAUCCCAUAGACUGUAGCAUGCCAGGCUUCUGUCCUUACUGUCUCCUGGAGCUUGCUCAAACUCAUGUCCAUUGAGUUAGUGAUGCCAUCUAACCAUCCCAUCCUCCCCUUCUCCUUCUGCCUUCAAUCUUUCCCAGAAUCAGGGUCUUUUCUAAUGAGUCAUCUCUUCAUAUUAAGGUGGCCAAAGUAUUGCAGUGUCAGCUUCAGCAUUAGUCCUUCCAAUGCAUAUUCAGGGCUGAUAAUACUUUAGGAUUGACUGGUUUGAUCUCCUUGCUGUCCUAGGCUCUCAAGAGUUUUCUCCAGUACCACAGUUGGAAAGCAUCAAUUCUUUGGUACUCAGCCUUCUUUAUGAUCCAACUCUCACAUCUACAUGUGAUUAUUGGAAAAACCAUAGCUUUGACUCUGUGGACCUUUGUUGGUAAGUGAUGUCUUUGUUUUUGAAUAUGCUGUCUAGUUUUGUCAUAGCUUUUCUUUCAAGGAGCAAGCAUCUUUUAAUUUUGUAACUGCAGUCACCAUCCACAGUGAUUUUGGAACCCAAGAAAAUAAAAUCUGUCACUGUUUCCACUUUUUCCCCCAUUUAUUUGCCAUGAAAUGAUGGGACCAGAUGCCAUGAGCUUAUAUCUGCAAUUCAUCCUCUGUGUAUACUUUAAACUUCGUCAGAGAGGACUCUGUUUUAGGAACUGUGGAUCAAUCUCUGUUUUGUUCCUGGGGCAUUUGGAAGUGAAGCGGGGUGUUCAGCUGACUUGGUCAUUCUGCCACCAUACCCUGCUUCAGGUGUGUGUCUACAUGGCACAAAGGACCGCUGAGAUUAGGCGGCUAUCACUUUCAAUGAUACGGACCAAGCAGGUGGCCCUUCUUUUUGUUUAUUUGUUGUUUCUAACCUCCAGCUAACUGUGAAUGGACACUAGCAUUUUGUUCUAUCUCAUUUUGGAAUCUUGACCCCCAACUGGAAGAUACCCACCCAGCAGCCCCGUUCUGUCAGUGCUCAGUUUAUUUUAUUGCUAUCCACUGCUCCGAUUAAGAACUGUGUUCUCUACCCAGGUUAUCGGAGCAUGGGGAUGGUAGAAGCAAAGCCUUCUCAUCCCUUCAGGAUAUGCACAUUUUUUAUUUUAGAACCAUCAAAAUUAAAGACUGGAGAACACGUCUGAGCAUGAGUAGCUGAAUUCUUAGUAUAAGAGGUGAGAGAAGGCCAUGGAAGCGGCUGGCAGCAGACGAGGGACCAGAUCCCAGGGCCUACUGCUCUCUACACUGUCCGUGUUGGCGCCACUUACAGAACAGGUGGUUCCCGGUUGGCCAGCUUACAGCUGGGGCUGACAUGUAGGCAUGAUGCCUUUAUCUUGGUAUCCGUGUCUGUGGCAAUACAAAGUAAAUAAUGCUUGUCACCCUUGCAUAUGUCGCUUAGCUACAAACUUCUAAGGACAGAUGAUUGCAUAAGAAAGAGUAAGAAUAAACUCUGUAUCUCUAGUCUUGCCUGACUUCCUCAGCCCCAGACUGACAUUUUUCAGCCAAUUGACCUUCCUGUCUAAAAGUUUGGUAAUGAGAGAAGCACUGAAUAUAUGCCAGAUAUGGCUCUAAAUGUUUCAUGUAUAUGAACUUAUAUCAUUCUCAGAAUGGCCCCAUGAAGUGUCUCUAUCAAUAUCCCCAUUUUAUAGAUGGAGAGUUGAGGCAUCAAUUCAGUUCAGUCACUCAGUUGUGUCUGAGGCUUUGCGACCCCAUGGACUGCAGCACACCAGGCCUCCCUGUCCAUCACCAACUCCCGGAGUUUACUCAAAUUCAUGUCCGUUGAGUCAGUGAUGACAUCCAACCAUCUCAUCCUCUGUCGUCCCCUUCUCCUCCCACCUUCAAUCUUUUCCAGCAUCAGGGUCUUUUCAAAUGAGUCAAUUCUUCACAUCAGGUGGCCAAAGCUUUGGAGUUUCAGCUUCAGCAUCAGUCCUUCCAAUGAAUAUUCAGGACUGAUUUCCUUUAGGAUGGACUGGUUGGAUCUCCUUGCAGUCCAAGGGACUCUCAAGAGUCUUCUCCAAUACCACAGUUCAAAAGCAUCAAUUCUUUGGCGCUCAGCUUUUUAUAGUCCAACUCUCACAUCCAUACAUGACUACUGGAAAAACCAUAGCUUUGACUAGACGGACCUUUGUUGGCAAAGUAAUGUCUCUUCUUUUUAAUAUGCUGUCUUGUCUGAUUGUAAUUUUUCUCCAAGAAGCAAGCAUCUUUUAAUUUCAUGGCUGCAAUCACCAUCUGCAAUGAUUUUGGAGCCCAGAAAAAUAAAGUCUGUCACUGUUUCCAUUGCUUCCCCAUCUAUUUGCCAUGAAGUGAUGGGACCAGAUGCCAUGAUCUUAGUUUUCUGAAUGUUGAGCUUUAAGCCAACCUUUUCACUCUCCUCUUUCACUUUCAUCAAGAGGCUCUUCAGUUCCUCUUCUCUUUUUGCCCUAAGGGGUGGUGUCAUCUGCAUAUCUGAGGUUAUUGAUAUUUCUCCCAGCAAUCUUGAUUCCAGCUUGUGCUUCCUUCAGCCCAGUGUUUCUCAUGAUGUACUCUGCAUAUAAGUUAAAUAAGCAGGGUGACAAUAUACAGCCUUGACAUACUCCUUUCCUGAUUUGAAACCAGUCUGUUAUUCCAUGUCCAG